GCCUUACCUUUUUACCACUUCUACUGCCAAAAGAAAGAAACAGAAAGGCUGUUGGUUGUCUCGCCAACUGACCCCAAGCUCACUGACCUCUAGCCUGAUCUAUUUCAUUAGCUCCCAAGACUAGUCUGGGAAUGCUGAGUCUAUGUACAAAGGCUACCGGCUUAUCAGUGCACAUAACCCGAGGAAUCUCAGCACUCAGACCAGUUCAGUGAGAGGUCCGGGCACAAAUCAGGAGUAGCUACAAAAUCUGACUCAAGUUGCAGGUGAACUUCUGUCUAUCUCACAGAGGAGCAAAGCCUAGAAGAUCCCUAACAGAAUCCAGGACAAAGGAAUGCUCAUGGCCAAAGUUGCCAGAUAAAAUGCAGGACAUUUGGUGAAACUUCUAUUUCGGAUAAGUAAUUUUUUAGUAUAAAUAUGAUCAGUACAUUUGGGAUUAUUUGUAACUGUAAAAGUUACGUUGUGGUGAGUUUAAAUUUAAUUGGACGAUUUUCAUUUUCAGUUGCCAAAUCCCCAACUCUAUUUAAGACACUACACCUCUCCAGCUCCUGUGCACUCCGGUUGCUAAGUGAGGAAAUGCGAAGACCAGCCUUGACUCCUCCCGGAACAAAGUGGAGCUGACAUCACAUCCGGAUUUGGCCAGCAGCCAGGUGACCGGAAGUGACGUCGCCCGAGACUAACGGCCUGUAAUCUUCGCGAGAGAAAUUAUGCCGCACGAUACUAGGUGUCGCAGAAAGUAAGGGGCUGCUGUCGCCUGGAUUCGCCUCCGUCUGGGCCAGGAAUGAUUUCCAAGGUCCAUGUACGUCCUUGAGACGCAAACUUACCUUUCCGCCGCUUCCAGCAGUGGAGACCGGAAGUGCUCUGUUGGGUGGGGAUUAACCCGGAAAUGGCCCGUCUGGGGCUUCCCUAGAGACCGGGAUCGCGGGUUAGAACGUGCGUGCCUCACUGGCCUCCAGAAAACCUGGAAAGAGGUGUAUGGAGUCCUCCGGUUUCUGCAUUCCUGCAGUGGAUUCUCAGUGAUUUGUAAUGAUCCUUCCCUGUUCAUCCUGUUAGAUACUGUCAGUCAUUAAAUACACCCCGAAUUCCUGUCAGGUGCCGGACUCCAGGCUGAACCAUCA
Molecule: non-coding RNA, 1115 nt
Organism: Peromyscus maniculatus bairdii (prairie deer mouse)
Lineage: Eukaryota; Metazoa; Chordata; Mammalia; Rodentia; Cricetidae
Source: RefSeq, a predicted model, not a curated record